CCUACGGGAGGCAGCAGUGAGGAAUAUUGGUCAAUGGACGAGAGUCUGAACCAGCCAAGUAGCGUGAAGGAUGACUGCCCUAUGGGUUGUAAACUUCUUUUAUCUGGGAAUAAAAUGUUCCACGUGUGGGAUGUUGUAUGUACCAUAUGAAUAAGGAUCGGCUAACUCCGUGCCAGCAGCCGCGGUAAUACGGAGGAUCCGAGCGUUAUCCGGAUUUAUUGGGUUUAAAGGGAGCGUAGGUGGAUUGUUAAGUCAGUUGUGAAAGUUUGCGGCUCAACCGUAAAAUUGCAGUUGAAACUGGCAGUCUUGAGUACAGUAGAGGUGGGCGGAAUUCGUGGUGUAGCGGUGAAAUGCUUAGAUAUCACGAAGAACUCCGAUUGCGAAGGCAGCUCACUGGACUGCAACUGACACUGAGGCUCGAAAGUGUGGGUAUCAAACAGGAUUAGAUACCCCGGUAGUC
Molecule: ribosomal RNA, 460 nt
Filed under: uncultured bacterium
Lineage: Bacteria
Description: partial 16S ribosomal RNA
Rfam family: Bacterial small subunit ribosomal RNA
Source: RNAcentral